This 501-nucleotide ribosomal RNA is filed under the name Herbaspirillum huttiense subsp. huttiense. RNAcentral describes it as "bacterial SSU rRNA". It matches the Rfam family "Bacterial small subunit ribosomal RNA", at positions 67 to 561 of the family's 1533-position model. Lineage: Bacteria; Pseudomonadati; Pseudomonadota; Betaproteobacteria; Burkholderiales; Oxalobacteraceae. The record is from RNAcentral.
CGGCAGCAUAGGAGCUUGCUCCUGAUGGCGAGUGGCGAACGGGUGAGUAAUAUAUCGGAACGUGCCCUAGAGUGGGGGAUAACUAGUCGAAAGACUAGCUAAUACCGCAUACGAUCUACGGAUGAAAGUGGGGGAUCGCAAGACCUCAUGCUCCUGGAGCGGCCGAUAUCUGAUUAGCUAGUUGGUGGGGUAAAAGCCUACCAAGGCAACGAUCAGUAGCUGGUCUGAGAGGACGACCAGCCACACUGGGACUGAGACACGGCCCAGACUCCUACGGGAGGCAGCAGUGGGGAAUUUUGGACAAUGGGGGCAACCCUGAUCCAGCAAUGCCGCGUGAGUGAAGAAGGCCUUCGGGUUGUAAAGCUCUUUUGUCAGGGAAGAAACGGUAGUAGCGAAUAACUAUUACUAAUGACGGUACCUGAAGAAUAAGCACCGGCUAACUACGUGCCAGCAGCCGCGGUAAUACGUAGGGUGCAAGCGUUAAUCGGAAUUACUGGGCGU